Molecule: long non-coding RNA, 1281 nt
Filed under: Canis lupus familiaris (dog)
Lineage: Eukaryota; Metazoa; Chordata; Mammalia; Carnivora; Canidae
Description: lncRNA (ENSCAFG00030012678.1)
Source: RNAcentral
GCGAAUGAAAAGAGGAGAGGGAAAGAGACUGUUGGAGGAGGCUUGUUUAGUCAAGGAAGGCAGUGGCAAGCUAGGGCGCAGACUUGGGGGAGCAGCCUUGGGCUGGGUCUGGAGGAGUGGGUGGUUUUCGGGGUUGGCCGCCCAGCCUGGAGCCCUGCUGCUGAGGAGAAGGAGGAAGCCUGCCUGCCGGGUCGGGGCAGGCCUGGGCAGGGCAAACUGGGCCGGAUAAAGAAACAGGUGCUGGGAGCUUUUAUCUUUAUUUCAUAUCCCCAAGUCUGUGGUGGUGGAGCGACCAAUUUUCCCAUAAUCCUAGGAAGGGGAGGCACUUGGGACACUCGGCACACGCAUCCUCUUCUGUCUGCCCACAGGGCUCGCAUUUCAACAGUCGGUCUCCAGCAGAUUCACCAGGCACUGUACGCCACACAAGAGGAAAAAGUAGAGAAACUUCUCAAGGAGGGCAUUCAGUUUCACCCAGACAAUAUGGAUUUUGCACAUUUGCCUGUCUGGGACUAAAUGUCUGAUUUGCCACCGAUCUUAACCAGGCGUAAUUGGUAUUGAAUGAUUGAUUUGACAAACGUUUAUGGAAUGCAUACUAUUGAUGGAUGCUGGUGUAGCUACAGAGAUAAGUAAGAUAUGAUUCCCAUCCUCAGACUGGCAGAAGAGAGAAAAACAUCAUAAACACCACAAUGACAUAAAUCCUGCAAAGAUGUAGAAGGGAGUACUAACUACUUGAGUAGCUAGGGAAAACUUCAUGGGAAAAAACACAUUUGAGGCUUAAUGUCCAAAAAGUCAUAAGAUGCUGUGUGUUGCAUCAGAAUGGCCUCCAAUGCAAUUAGUGACUUUCUGGAUUGAGGUGAAAGCCUGGAAAAUAGAUGGCAAAAAAGAAAUUUUUCUUUACUAUAAUAUGACCUCAUUUAAGGGAGUUGAUAUUUUUACUAUGAAAGAAAUGUAUUUUUGAGUACCUUCCUGAGUGUGGAUAGGCUAGGAUGGGUGAAGUGGUGCCUGGGUAUCAAGGUGGAGAGGUUUUAUUGUUCUACAUAGUAGAAGGCCAACAUUGGGAGCCAGAAGGAUUAAUGUGGAAGAGUGAUGAGAGGUCCAAGAAGAAGUGAGAAGCCAGUUAGAUCAUGGAGAGUGGGUCUCUAGGUGGCCUAAAGAGGAAAAGAAUCCCUAGUGGCAAAGUGGUCUGAUGACAUAAGGACAUGAUUGUCUAGUGUUCUACCUGAAGUUGCCUGCAUUAUCCAUUGUUGAGAUGCAUUGCUGAGUCUUCCGAAAGUUUCAUUC